CGGGGAAAUCAUGAAAGUCGUCAGGUGAACUUGAGAUUGUGCUUAUAUUAUUUCCUAGUUUGGUUGAAGUACUGAUCAUGGAUCUGUAAUUUAUUUACUUGUAAGGUUCACUUUUUAGUUGAAGUACUUUUUUUAGACAGGAUUUAAACUGCUAGAUAUAAUUGUUUAAAAUUAUUCUGAUUUCUGAGCUUCCGUGCUUUUUAAAUUACUCGUCUCCGUCAAAAUCUUUCUUCUGAUAGUGGAUUUCUGUUUUCCAUUUCAGAUUACUCAAGUUUAUGG
This 279-nucleotide unclassified non-coding RNA is filed under the name Hevea brasiliensis (rubber tree). Lineage: Eukaryota; Viridiplantae; Streptophyta; Magnoliopsida; Malpighiales; Euphorbiaceae. The record is from RNAcentral.